This 307-nucleotide unclassified non-coding RNA is filed under the name Hevea brasiliensis (rubber tree). Lineage: Eukaryota; Viridiplantae; Streptophyta; Magnoliopsida; Malpighiales; Euphorbiaceae. The record is from RNAcentral.
AGAUAAAAGAUGGGUAAAUUUGAUUGCUGAUGGGAAUCAAAACCUUUGAAAGGAUUCUGCUUGAUGAAUAGAAAAGUCGAAAUAAUGAUCAUAAAAAAAAAUUGAAAAACGAAUGGUGGCGUUUCUUGGUUGAGAUUGAGGAGAACCUAAGGCAAAACCGAUCACAACCCUAGGCCUAAAAGAGAAAUGAGAGCUGAAGAUAGGGUUAUAUUUGCAAAAAUCUAUGCUGCUUUUGAUUGAUUGUUCUUUUUGUGUUGUGUGUGCACGAGAUUGAAUGAAUACAAAAGAGAAAAUAUUCUAUCAAUGG